RNAcentral lists this unclassified non-coding RNA (1639 nucleotides) under uncultured fungus. Its description in RNAcentral is "sequence contains 18S rRNA gene, ITS1, 5.8S rRNA gene, ITS2, 28S rRNA gene". The stretch from base 569 to 1639 matches the Rfam family "Eukaryotic large subunit ribosomal RNA", at positions 1 to 961 of the family's 3401-position model. The record is from RNAcentral. Lineage: Eukaryota; Fungi.
GGAAGGAUCAUUCACACAACCUGUAUACAGGUCGCCUAGUGAUAGUAACAACUUAACUUCGGUUGAUGCUGUUUUGCGGAAGAGAUGGAGUUAACGCUUCACGCUUGGAUGCACAUACUACUCGCUUUCUAAAAGCGGAUAGGCAAAAAACUAACAACACCCUUAACGAUGGAUACCUCAGCUCGUGAAGCGAUGAAGGACGCAGCAAAGUGCGAUAAGCACUGUGAAUUGCAGAUUUCCGCGAACCAGUAGAUAUCUGAACGCAUUAUGCGCGAUAGGAGUUUACUCCUCUCGCGGGUAUGUGUCAGCGUCAUUGAUGAUCCCUAUCCAAUUUAGGUAAACUAACGUUGGAUAGAGUUUUCGAGCUUUACUGUCAAGUAGAGUUCGACAAUUCAUAUGAUACCAAAAUAGGUACAUAUGCAGUAUCCAGCAAAAUCAAUAGAAAUUUGCUAUCUUACGUAUGGUUUGCAUUGUGUUAAUAGCAGUCUUCCUGUAUGAUAUUAGGAGUUUUUUCUACUAAAGUCGGCCGGGAAGGUUCUACUACCAAUUGCUAAAGCAUACAACAUUCAUGACCUGAUUCAUUCCAGACAACCCGCUGAAUUUAAGCAUAUAAGUAAGCGGAGGAAAAGAAACUAACUAACUAGGAUUCCCUUAGUAACGGCGAGUGAACAGGGAAAAGCUCAAUGCCCAAUCCUGCAAAGGAAAUGUGGUUUUGGUAAGCUACCAGCGAAAUUUUCGGUGAAAGUCUCCUGGAACGGAGCGCCAAGGAGGGUGACAGCCCCGUCCAUCACUGAAAUCAUUUCGUGUACGGUACUUGCUGAAGGAGUCGCGUACUUUGGGAUAAGUGCGCUAAAGGGUGGUAAGUUCCAUCCAAAGCUAAAUAUGACCACGAGACUGAUAGCGAACAAGUACCGUGAGGGAAAGGUGAAAAGAACUUUGAAAAGAGAGUUAAAAGUGCUUGAAAUCGUUAAGGGGGAAGCGAAUAUCGCGUUUGGAUAUGCUCUCGUAAGUGUUGCACACUGAAUCCACCCAUGUUAGCCGCGUCAGGGCAACCGAAAGCGGCCGGCCAAAGGUUGUAUUUAAUGUGUUUUUGCUUGCUUGAGAUGGCAGCACAGUUCUAAUUGCUAGUUGGCAAAAUCUUUGCGUUGCGACAAGGCUACGGCUUUCGACGUAUGCAUCGACUAUCCUAGUAGUGGGACUUUAAACAGGCUUCUCUAACGGGUUCGGAAUUCUGCACAGCAAUUCGAUUCCAUUUGGUUUCGUAAGGUUAGGCAGGGAGCCGAUGCCUUAAUUGAGGUCUGAGUGCUGCAAUCAACUGUGAUAUUUGUCCCGUCUUGAAACACGGACCAAGGAGUCUAACGUAUAUGCGAGUGUGUGGAUAGUAAAUCCAUGCGCGCAAUGAAAGUGAUCAUAGCGAGUAUGUUAUGCAUAUGCAGCUGUGGCCGACCUAGAUCUUCGGUGACAGGUUUGAGUAUGAGCAUGUCCGUUAGGACCCGAAAGAUGGUGAACUAUGCCAGAGUAGGGUGAAGCCAGGGGAAACUCUGGUGGAGGCUCGUAGCGAUACUGACGUGCAAAUCGUUCGUCAAACUUUGGUAUAGGGGCGAAAGACUAAUCGAACCAUCUAGUAGCUGGUUCCCUC